Molecule: ribosomal RNA, 458 nt
Filed under: uncultured bacterium
Lineage: Bacteria
Description: partial 16S ribosomal RNA
Rfam family: Bacterial small subunit ribosomal RNA
Source: RNAcentral
CCUACGGGAGGCAGCAGUGAGGAAUAUUGGUCAAUGGGCGAGAGCCUGAACCAGCCAAGUCGCGUGAGGGAGUACUGCCCUAUGGGUUGUAAACCUCUUUUGUCGGGGAGCAAAAGCCGGACGUGUCCGGCUGUGAGAGUACCCGAAGAAAAAGCAUCGGCUAACUCCGUGCCAGCAGCCGCGGUAAUACGGAGGAUGCGAGCGUUAUCCGGAUUUAUUGGGGUUAAAGGGUUCGCAGGCUGAUGUUUACGUCAGCGGUCAAAUCGUGGGGCUAAACCCCAUCCAGCCGUUGAAACUGGGGAUCUAGAGUGUGCGAGAGGUAUGCGGAAUGCGUGGUGUAGCGGUGAAAUGCAUAGAUAUCACGCAGAACCCCGAUUGCGAAGGCAGCAUACCGGUGCACAACUGACGCUCAGGCACGAAAGCGUGGGUAUCGAACAGGAUUAGAUACCCGUGUAGUC